Molecule: ribosomal RNA, 484 nt
Filed under: uncultured bacterium
Lineage: Bacteria
Description: partial 16S ribosomal RNA
Rfam family: Bacterial small subunit ribosomal RNA
Source: RNAcentral
AUUGAACGCUGGCGGCAGGCCUAACACAUGCAAGUCGAGCGGAUGAAGGGAGCUUGCUCCUGGAUUCAGCGGCGGACGGGUGAGUAAUGCCUAGGAAUCUGCCUGGUAGUGGGGGAUAACGUCCGGAAACGGGCGCUAAUACCGCAUACGUCCUGAGGGAGAAAGUGGGGGAUCUUCGGACCUCACGCUAUCAGAUGAGCCUAGGUCGGAUUAGCUAGUUGGCGGGGUAAAGGCCUACCAAGGCGACGAUCCGUAACUGGUCUGAGAGGAUGAUCAGUCACACUGGAACUGAGACACGGUCCAGACUCCUACGGGAGGCAGCAGUGGGGAAUAUUGGACAAUGGGCGAAAGCCUGAUCCAGCCAUGCCGUGUGUGUGAAGAAGGUCUUCGGAUUGUAAAGCACUUUAAGUUGGGAGGAAGGGCAGUAAGUUAAUACCUUGCUGUUUUGACGUUACCAACAGAAUAAGCACCGGCUAACUUCGUG